AACGAACGCUGGCGGCAUGCCUAACACAUGCAAGUCGAACGAGACCUUCGGGUCUAGUGGCGCACGGGUGCGUAACGCGUGGGAACCUGCCCUUAGGUUCGGAAUAACUCCCCGAAAGGGGUGCUAAUACCGGAUAAUGUCUUCGGACCAAAGAUUUAUCGCCUUUGGAUGGGCCCGCGUUGGAUUAGCUAGUUGGUAGGGUAAAAGCCUACCAAGGCGACGAUCCAUAGCUGGUCUGAGAGGAUGAUCAGCCACACUGGGACUGAGACACGGCCCAGACUCCUACGGGAGGUAGCAGUGGGGAAUAUUGGACAAUGGGCGAAAGCCUGAUCCAGCAAUGCCGCGUGAGUGAUGAAAGCCUUAGGGUUGUAAAGCUCUUUUACCCGGGAUGAUAAUGACAGUACCGGGAGAAUAAGCUCCGGCUAACUCCGUG
Molecule: ribosomal RNA, 433 nt
Filed under: uncultured bacterium
Lineage: Bacteria
Description: partial 16S ribosomal RNA
Rfam family: Bacterial small subunit ribosomal RNA
Source: RNAcentral